This 31-nucleotide small RNA is filed under the name Bombyx mori (domestic silkworm). RNAcentral describes it as "ovarian small RNA-26458". Lineage: Eukaryota; Metazoa; Arthropoda; Insecta; Lepidoptera; Bombycidae. The record is from RNAcentral.
UCCAAAGCCCUUGUUAUUGGCACAAGCCACC